RNAcentral lists this ribosomal RNA (497 nucleotides) under uncultured bacterium. RNAcentral's name for it is "partial 16S ribosomal RNA". It matches the Rfam family "Bacterial small subunit ribosomal RNA", at positions 28 to 507 of the family's 1533-position model. The record is from RNAcentral.
GAUGAACGCUGGCGGCGUGCCUAAUACAUGCAAGUCGAGCGAACAGACGAGGAGCUUGCUCCUCUGACGUUAGCGGCGGACGGGUGAGUAACACGUGGAUAACCAACCUAUAAGACUGGGAUAACUUCGGGAAACCGGAGCUAAUACCGGAUAAUAUAUUGAACCGCAUGGUUCAAUAGUGAAAGACGGUUUUGCUGUCACUUAUAGAUGGAUCCGCGCCGCAUUAGCUAGUUGGUAAGGUAACGGCUUACCAAGGCGACGAUGCGUAGCCGACCUGAGAGGGUGAUCGGCCACACUGGAACUGAGACACGGUCCAGACUCCUACGGGAGGCAGCAGUAGGGAAUCUUCCGCAAAGGGCGAAAGCCUGACGGAGCAACGCCGCGUGAGUGAUGAAGGUCUUCGGAUCGUAAAACUCUGUUAUUAGGGAAGAACAAAUGUGUAAGUAACUAUGCACGUCUUGACGGUACCUGAUCAGAAAGCCACGGCUAACUACGUG